This is a long non-coding RNA of Xiphophorus hellerii (green swordtail), 128 nucleotides long. RefSeq lists it as uncharacterized. NCBI's taxonomy places the organism in Eukaryota, Metazoa, Chordata, Actinopteri, Cyprinodontiformes, Poeciliidae. The transcript is spliced from 4 exons. The record is from RefSeq and is a predicted model, not a curated record.
GCCUUAUUUACAGAACAAAAGCACCUGCUAGAUAAAAUCCUUCAGGUCAGUUGGCCCAUCUCUGGACUCCAAAGGUAGAAAUACAAAAUGGCCUUUCUCUGGUACUUGCAGAGAAGUCUGAUAACAUA